Canis lupus familiaris (dog) is the source of this 1384-nucleotide long non-coding RNA. RefSeq lists it as uncharacterized. The transcript has 3 exons. The record is from RefSeq and is a predicted model, not a curated record. Lineage: Eukaryota; Metazoa; Chordata; Mammalia; Carnivora; Canidae.
CAUUUACUCAUUUAACAGAUAUAAAUAGAUUGUCUGCCGCGUGAGUCACCGUGGCUUGUGCUGGGGCUUCGGCAGAAAGCAGGACAGCCACGGAGACCAUGUGACAAGGGCUGCAAAGGGGCACCGAUAAUUGCGAAAUCUGUUCGUUGUGUGACAGUGCUCUGGCCCGGCGAGAACGCGGCAUUUCCUCUUUGCUCUUUGUUUAGGCGAAUCACCAGAAUGACCACAAAAGGCUACCUGCAGAGCCCACCUGCUUCCCGAAAGCCCCCAGGCCCUGCCUGCUGCACCCAACAAGAACACAGGCGACCUAUUUGUGAACAUGAAGAUACAGCUUUGGCUUCUGGGAACUACGAUCCAUGCAGCUGAGCCAGGGUGAGAACCAGGAUUCUCUCCCUGGUUCCCCAUCAGGGCCCCUCGGAGGGGGAGCUGCAGCCUGUGAGCUUUGCAGUCUGGCGGGCCUGGUUUCCAGUCCUGGCUCUGUCCGUCAUCUCUGAGCUGGGUGACCCUGGGCAAGUCACUUGCCCUCUCUUGAAUUGCAAUGUCUGAAUCUGUAAAAGACAUACAAUUCAUUAUGGGUUUGGGGAUAAUUAUUUUUUUAAGGAUUUUAUUUAUUUAUUCAUAAAAGACACACACACAGAGGCAGAGACAUAGGCAGAGGGAGAAGCAGACUGCAGGACCCGGGGAUCACGUCCUGAGCCAAAGGCAGACACUCAGCCACUGAGCCACCCAGGAGCCCCGGAUCAAUCACGAUUUAUAAGGAGAAAUCAGAUUCAUAUGAUUUUAAUGACAGAGGUGAGGUGGAACAAGGUGACAUUCGGCCUUCCGGCUCCUGCUGUCAUGCUGUAGACAAGUGUCCUCUUCAUAGUUCCUUCAGUGCCACGUUUUUCACGUUUUUAUGCUUUUUUUGUCCAUGGUUUUGCUGUUUAAAGCAGCCUCUAUGCACAGAGCUGAGGUGCGGCCUGGUGCUCCUCCGUGCAAGGAGGCCAAGAUGUGCCUCAUGGAGGAAACAGGAGCAUCAGCUCAGUGUGGCUCAGGCAUGAGUGACAGCGCUGCUGGCUCGGAGUUCAGCGCUAAAGAAUCCACGUACAUAUUAAAUAAGUUGUCUUUAAACAUAAACGCACACAGGGGAGCCUGGGGUCUCAGUCGGUCAGUGUCUGCCUUUGGCUUAGGUCAUGCAUGAUCCCAGGGUCCUGGGAUCGAGUCCUGGGUCGGGCUCCCUGCUCAGCAGAGAAUCAGCCUCUCCCUCGGCCUCUCACUGUGCUUUCUUGCUCUGGCUCACUCGCUGUCUCUCAAACAAAUAAAUAAUUAUUAAAAAAAACAACCAGGGCAGCCCAGGUGGCUCAGUGGCUUAGUGCUGCCUUCAGCCCAGGGCCUGAUCCUGGAG